This 459-nucleotide ribosomal RNA is filed under the name uncultured bacterium. RNAcentral's name for it is "partial 16S ribosomal RNA". It matches the Rfam family "Bacterial small subunit ribosomal RNA", at positions 338 to 795 of the family's 1533-position model. The record is from RNAcentral.
CCUACGGGAGGCAGCAGUGAGGAAUAUUGGUCAAUGGUCGGGGGACUGAACCAGCCAAGCCGCGUGAGGGAUGAAGGUACAGAGUAUCGUAAACCUCUUUUGUCAGGGAACAAAGGCGGGGACGUGUCCCCGGAUGAGUGUACCUGAAGAAAAAGCAUCGGCUAACUCCGUGCCAGCAGCCGCGGUAAUACGGAGGAUGCGAGCGUUAUCCGGAUUUAUUGGGUUUAAAGGGUGCGCAGGCGGUCUGUUAAGUCAGCGGUCAAAGCCCGGGGCUCAACCCCGGCCCGCCGUUGAAACUGGCAGUCGCGAGUUGGAGAGAAGUAUGCGGAAUGCGCGGUGUAGCGGUGAAAUGCAUAGAUAUCGCGCAGAACUCCGAUUGCGAAGGCAGCAUGCCGGCUCCACACUGACGCUGAGGCACGAAAGCGUGGGUAUCGAACAGGAUUAGAUACCCUUGUAGUC